CAGUCGCCGCGGUAAAACGGAGGGUGCAAGCGUUAUCCGGAUUCACUGGGUUUAAAGGGUGCGUAGGCGGAUCUGUAAGUCAGUGGUGAAAUCUCCAGGCUUAACCUGGAAACUGCCGUUGAUACUAUAGGUCUUGAAUUUUGUGGAGGUUAGCGGAAUAUGUCAUGUAGCGGUGAAAUGCAUAGAUAUGACGUAGAACACCAAUUGCGAAGGCAGCUGGCUACACAACUAUUGACGCUGAGGCACGAAAGCGUGGGGAUCAAACAGGAUUAGAUACCCCUGUAGUCCCUGUCUCUUAUAA
RNAcentral lists this ribosomal RNA (301 nucleotides) under uncultured bacterium. Its description in RNAcentral is "partial 16S ribosomal RNA". It matches the Rfam family "Bacterial small subunit ribosomal RNA", at positions 509 to 809 of the family's 1533-position model. The record is from RNAcentral.